GUGAUAAGCAUUGUGAUGUGCGAGAUCCUGUGAACCAUUAGACUCCCGAGCGCACUCUGCACUUUCAGGAUCCCCUGAAAGUAAUCCAGCUCCAGGGUCAUGGGCUGUUUCCCACACAGUGGGCAUUACUCUGGGCAGGGUGAAGCAUCUUGGCUUAUGACCC
This 163-nucleotide ribosomal RNA is filed under the name Amphidinium massartii. RNAcentral's name for it is "5.8S ribosomal RNA". The stretch from base 1 to 100 matches the Rfam family "5.8S ribosomal RNA", at positions 55 to 154 of the family's 154-position model. From Rfam's summary of the family: 5.8S ribosomal RNA (5.8S rRNA) is a component of the large subunit of the eukaryotic ribosome. It is transcribed by RNA polymerase I as part of the 45S precursor that also contains 18S and 28S rRNA. Functionally, it is thought that 5.8S rRNA may be involved in ribosome translocation. The record is from RNAcentral. Lineage: Eukaryota; Dinophyceae; Amphidiniales; Amphidiniaceae.